CAGCCGCCGCGGUAAUACGAAGGGUGCAAGCGUUACUCGGAAUUACUGGGCGUAAAGGGAGCGUAGACGGAAUGGCAAGUCUGAAGUGAAAUGCCCGGGCUCAACCCGGGAACUGCUUUGGAAACUGUCGAUCUGGAGUGUUGGAGAGGUAAGUGGAAUUCCUGGUGUAGCGGUGAAAUGCGUAGAGAUCAGGAAGAACACCGGAGGCGAAGGCGGCUUACUGGACAAAGACUGACGUUGAGGCUCGAAAGCGUGGGAAGCAAACAGGAUUAGAUACCCGCGUAGUCCCUGUCUCUUAUAC
RNAcentral lists this ribosomal RNA (301 nucleotides) under uncultured bacterium. Its description in RNAcentral is "partial 16S ribosomal RNA". It matches the Rfam family "Bacterial small subunit ribosomal RNA", at positions 509 to 807 of the family's 1533-position model. The record is from RNAcentral.